This 468-nucleotide ribosomal RNA is filed under the name uncultured bacterium. Its description in RNAcentral is "bacterial SSU rRNA". It matches the Rfam family "Bacterial small subunit ribosomal RNA", at positions 28 to 507 of the family's 1533-position model. The record is from RNAcentral.
GAUGAACGCUGGCGGCGUGCUUAACACAUGCAAGUCGAACGGACUUUACAUGAAGCCUAGCGAAUGUAAAGUUAGUGGCGGACGGGUGAGUAACGCGUGAAUAACCUGCCUUAUACUGGGGGACAACGGUUGGAAACGACUGCUAAUACCGCAUAAGCGCACGGAGCUGCAUGGCUCAGUGUGAAAAACUCCGGUGGUAUAAGAUGGAUUCGCGUCUGAUUAGCUAGUUGGUGAGGUAACGGCCCACCAAGGCGACGAUCAGUAGCCGGCCUGAGAGGGUGAACGGCCACAUUGGGACUGAGACACGGCCCAAACUCCUACGGGAGGCAGCAGUGGGGAAUAUUGCACAAUGGGGGAAACCCUGAUGCAGCGACGCCGCGUGAGUGAAGAAGUAUUUCGGUAUGUAAAGCUCUAUCAGCAGGGAAGAAAAUGACGGUACCUGACUAAGAAGCUCCGGCUAACUACGUG